This 67-nucleotide transfer RNA is filed under the name Blaberus peruvianus. Its description in RNAcentral is "tRNA-Leu". Lineage: Eukaryota; Metazoa; Arthropoda; Insecta; Blattodea; Blaberidae. The record is from RNAcentral.
UCUAAUAUGGCAGAUUAGUGCAAUGAAUUUAAGCUUCAUUAAUAAAGAUUUAUUUCUUUUAUUAGAA